GCAUCAAUGGUGGAACUGGUAUACACAGGGCACUUAAAAUGCCCCGCCGAAAGGAUUGUGGGUUCGAAUCCCACUUGGUGCA
This 82-nucleotide transfer RNA is filed under the name Enterobacter phage prasa_myo. Its description in RNAcentral is "tRNA-Leu". It matches the Rfam family "tRNA". From Rfam's summary of the family: Transfer RNA (tRNA) molecules are approximately 80 nucleotides in length. Lineage: Duplodnaviria; Heunggongvirae; Uroviricota; Caudoviricetes; Pantevenvirales; Straboviridae. The record is from RNAcentral.